Molecule: transfer RNA, 56 nt
Filed under: Oesophagostomoides longispicularis
Lineage: Eukaryota; Metazoa; Nematoda; Chromadorea; Rhabditida; Strongylidae
Description: tRNA-Ser
Source: RNAcentral
AAACUAUUUUGUUUUGUUUUGAAAACAAAAGUUAAGAAUGUUUUUCUUGUAGUUUU